GAUUGAACGCUGGCGGUAUGCUUUACACAUGCAAGUCGAACGGCAGCACGGGGCAACCUGGUGGCGAGUGGCGAACGGGUGAGUAACAUAUCGGAACAUGUCCGGAAGUGGGGGAUAACGUACCGAAAGGUACGCUAAUACCGCAUAUGCCCCGAGGGGGAAAGGGGGGGAUCGCAAGACCUCUCGCUUUCGGAGUGGCCGAUAUCGGAUUAGCUAGUUGGUGAGGUAAAGGCUCACCAAGGCGACGAUCCGUAGCUGGUCUGAGAGGACGACCAGCCACACUGGAACUGAGACACGGUCCAGACUCCUACGGGAGGCAGCAGUGGGGAAUUUUGGACAAUGGGCGCAAGCCUGAUCCAGCCAUACCGCGUGAGUGAAGAAGGCCUUCGGGUUGUAAAGCUCUUUCAGCCGGAAAGAAAUUGCUUCUAUUAAUACUAGGAGUAGAUGACGGUACCGGAAGAAGAAGCACC
RNAcentral lists this ribosomal RNA (470 nucleotides) under uncultured bacterium. Its description in RNAcentral is "bacterial SSU rRNA". It matches the Rfam family "Bacterial small subunit ribosomal RNA", at positions 27 to 494 of the family's 1533-position model. The record is from RNAcentral.